Cordylochernes scorpioides is the source of this 76-nucleotide non-coding RNA. The record is from the annotation of a GenBank genome assembly. Lineage: Eukaryota; Metazoa; Arthropoda; Arachnida; Pseudoscorpiones; Chernetidae.
AGUGUCAAGAGAUGGGAAUCGAACCCACGACCUUCCGCUUACCGGGCAGAUGCCAUGACCACUAGGCCACAUGACC